This 491-nucleotide ribosomal RNA is filed under the name uncultured bacterium. Its description in RNAcentral is "partial 16S ribosomal RNA". It matches the Rfam family "Bacterial small subunit ribosomal RNA", at positions 29 to 506 of the family's 1533-position model. The record is from RNAcentral.
AGUGAACGCUGGCGGUAGGCCUAACACAUGCAAGUCGAACGGCAGCACAGUAAGAGCUUGCUCUUACGGGUGGCGAGUGGCGGACGGGUGAGGAAUACAUCGGAAUCUACUUUUUCGUGGGGGAUAACGUAGGGAAACUUACGCUAAUACCGCAUACGACCUACGGGUGAAAGCAGGGGAUCUUCGGACCUUGCGCGAUUGAAUGAGCCGAUGUCGGAUUAGCUAGUUGGCGGGGUAAAGGCCCACCAAGGCGACGAUCCGUAGCUGGUCUGAGAGGAUGAUCAGCCACACUGGAACUGAGACACGGUCCAGACUCCUACGGGAGGCAGCAGUGGGGAAUAUUGGACAAUGGGCACAAGCCUGAUCCAGCCAUACCGCGUGGGCGAAGAAGGCCUUCGGGUUGUAAAGCCCUUUUGUUGGGAAAGAAAAGCAGCAGGUUAAUACCCCGCUGUUCUGACGGUACCCAAAGAAUAAGCACCGGCUAACUUCGU